Molecule: ribosomal RNA, 250 nt
Filed under: uncultured bacterium
Lineage: Bacteria
Description: partial 16S ribosomal RNA
Rfam family: Bacterial small subunit ribosomal RNA
Source: RNAcentral
UGGGGAAUAUUGGACAAUGGGCGCAAGCCUGAUCCAGCCAUGCCGCGUGAGUGAUGAAGGCCUUAGGGUUGUAAAGCUCUUUCGUCAGGGAAGAUAAUGACGGUACCUGAAGAAGAAGCCCCGGCUAACUUCGUGCCAGCAGCCGCGGUAAUACGAAGGGGGCUAGCGUUGCUCGGAAUCACUGGGCGUAAAGCGCACGUAGGCGGCUUUCUAAGUCAGGGGUGAAAUCCUGGAGCUCAACUCCAGAACU